AUUGAACGCUGGCGGCAGGCCUAACACAUGCAAGUCGAACGGUAACAGGAAGCAGCUUGCUGCUUUGCUGACGAGUGGCGGACGGGUGAGUAAUGUCUGGGAAACUGCCCGAUGGAGGGGGAUAACUACUGGAAACGGUAGCUAAUACCGCAUAACGUCGCAAGACCAAAGAGGGGGACCUUAGGGCCUCUUGCCAUCGGAUGUGCCCAGAUGGGAUUAGCUAGUAGGUGGGGUAACGGCUCACCUAGGCGACGAUCCCUAGCUGGUCUGAGAGGAUGACCAGCCACACUGGAACUGAGACACGGUCCAGACUCCUACGGGAGGCAGCAGUGGGGAAUAUUGCACAAUGGGCGCAAGCCUGAUGCAGCCAUGCCGCGUGUAUGAAGAAGGCCUUCGGGUUGUAAAGUACUUUCAGCGGGGAGGAAGGGAGUAAAGUUAAUACCUUUGCUCAUUGACGUGACCCGCAGAAGAAGCACCGGCUAACUCCGU
Molecule: ribosomal RNA, 489 nt
Filed under: uncultured bacterium
Lineage: Bacteria
Description: partial 16S ribosomal RNA
Rfam family: Bacterial small subunit ribosomal RNA
Source: RNAcentral